GUCAUUGUGGGGGAGGGGGUGGGCCAGCCAGGGCAGGCAGGGACAGUCCUUCUGAUGAGGAGGCCACUGGGCUGAGACCAAUGAAUGAGACGGAGCCAGCCACGUGGUGAGCCAGAAGAGGGCAUCACAGGUCCAUGAAAUGGGCUCCCUACGUCCAACCCCACAGACCCCAUAGGAAAGAGCAGAUGGAAUCUCCAAGGGCACCAGCUAUACAUGGUGGUGGAAGGACCAACAAGUGCUCUCAAUGCCACUGCAGACAACAGGGCUUGAGUCUGGGGGAGCCUGGCUGCCCAGAGGUGGCAGAUGACAUGAAGAAAUAACCAUGUAAGGGCUGGCUGUGUAUGAGAGCAAGCAUUGGGAAGGAUGAAUGCCAACUAUGUUCCAGGAACUUCUACUGUUCUCACACACCCAGAUGAGUGGUGUUCAGGUGGGUGGCACCCAGGUGAGUGGCACCCAGGUGGAUAGCAUCCAGGUGAGUGACACCUAGGUGAGUGACAUUCAGGUGAGUGGCAUCUGUGUGAGUGGCAUCAUCCAGGUGAGUA
This 542-nucleotide long non-coding RNA is filed under the name Pongo abelii (Sumatran orangutan). RNAcentral describes it as "lincRNA". The record is from RNAcentral. Lineage: Eukaryota; Metazoa; Chordata; Mammalia; Primates; Hominidae.